This 392-nucleotide ribosomal RNA is filed under the name uncultured bacterium. Its description in RNAcentral is "bacterial SSU rRNA". It matches the Rfam family "Bacterial small subunit ribosomal RNA", at positions 28 to 424 of the family's 1533-position model. The record is from RNAcentral.
GACGAACGCUGGCGGCGUGCUUAACACAUGCAAGUCGAGCGGUAAGGCCCUUUCGGGGGUACACGAGCGGCGAACGGGUGAGUAACACGUGGGUGACCUGCCCUUAGCUCUGGGAUAAGCCUGGGAAACUGGGCCUAAUACCGGAUAUGACUCCAUGACGCAUGUUGUGGGGUGGAAAGCCUUGUGCGGCUAGGGAUGGGCCCGCGGCCUAUCAGCUUGUUGGUGGGGUGAUGGCCACCAAGGCGACGACGGGUAGCCGGCCUGAGAGGGCGACCGGCCACACUGGGACUGAGACACGGCCCAGACUCCUACGGGAGGCAGCAGUGGGGAAUCUUGCGCAAUGGGCGAAAGCCUGACGCAGCGACGCCGCGUGAGGGAUGACGGCCUCGGUU